GAUGAAGAACGUAGCGAAAUGCGAUACUUGGUGUGAAUUGCAGAAUCCCGUGAACCAUCGAGUCUUUGAACGCAAGUUGCGCCCGAAGCCAUCAGGUUGAGGGCACGUCUGCCUGGGCGUCACAUAUCGUUGCCCAAUGCCUAUUGCAGUGCAAUAGGAAUUUCUAGGGCGAAUGAUGGCUUCCCGUGAGCGUUGUUGCCUCGCGGUUGGUUGAAAAUCGAGUCUUUGGUAGGGUGUGCCAUGGUAGAUGGUGGUCGAGUUAGAACGAUACCGAUCAUGUGCAUGCUCCCCAAAAUAUGGCCUCUAUGACCCACACGCGUCUUUUGACGCUCAUGACGAGACCUCAGGUCAGGCGGGGCUACCCGCUGAAUUUAAGCAUAUCAAUAAGCGGAGGA
This 395-nucleotide unclassified non-coding RNA is filed under the name soil metagenome. RNAcentral describes it as "partial contains 5.8S ribosomal RNA, internal transcribed spacer 2, and large subunit ribosomal RNA". The stretch from base 1 to 122 matches the Rfam family "5.8S ribosomal RNA", at positions 35 to 154 of the family's 154-position model. The record is from RNAcentral.